RNAcentral lists this long non-coding RNA (210 nucleotides) under Lathyrus oleraceus (garden pea). RNAcentral describes it as "Pisum sativum (pea) long non-coding RNA (PSAT_LNC015391)". Lineage: Eukaryota; Viridiplantae; Streptophyta; Magnoliopsida; Fabales; Fabaceae. The record is from RNAcentral.
ACUAGAUAAGAUUUUUUUCUAUACUCCAUUGAAUACUUCGGUAGAACUGAGUAAAGUUUGUUGCAGAAUAAAGUUGGAAGUUAUCCAAUCAAUCUUGUGUAUAACAAAUGCUCAGACAAGAAACUAGUAGGCUGAGUAAAGGUCACUGCAUAAGAGAUGCUCGGAGCGGGAUUUUUGUGUCUAUAAAGAUUUUCGGAUGAUCUGAAUAUU